This 253-nucleotide ribosomal RNA is filed under the name uncultured bacterium. RNAcentral describes it as "partial 16S ribosomal RNA". It matches the Rfam family "Bacterial small subunit ribosomal RNA", at positions 524 to 776 of the family's 1533-position model. The record is from RNAcentral.
UACGUAGGGUGCGAGCGUUGUCCGGAAUUAUUGGGCGUAAAGAGCUCGUAGGCGGUCUGUCGCGUCGAAUGUGAAAUCCCUCGGCUCAACCGAGGAACUGCAUCCGAUACUGGCGGGCUUGAAUCCGGGAGAGGGAUGUGGAAUUCCAGGUGUAGCGGUGAAAUGCGUAGAUAUCUGGAGGAACACCGGUGGCGAAGGCGGCAUCCUGGACCGGUAUUGACGCUGAGGCGCGAAAGCUAGGGGAGCAAACGGG